GAUGAAGAACGUAGCGAAACGCGAUAGUUAAUGUGAAUUGCAGAAUUCAGUGAAUCAUCGAGUCUUUGAACGCUCAUUGCGCCCAUUGGUAUUCCGUUGGGCAUGUCUGUUUGAGCGUCAUUACAACAGUUCAGCGUAAGCUGGUUAUGAGUUCUGUUUUUUUAAACAAAAAACAGGCUUUAAAAUGUAUGUUCUGCAGGUCGCUUUGCUAAACCCUAAACAUUAAAUACUGUUCUAGUGAAGCAUUUGCGACUCUGCCUGAAAAAAAACUUUUGUUAAAGUUUAACCUCAGAUCAGACAAGGAUACCCGCUGAACUUAAGCAUAUCAAUAAGCGGAGGA
RNAcentral lists this unclassified non-coding RNA (340 nucleotides) under soil metagenome. RNAcentral describes it as "partial contains 5.8S ribosomal RNA, internal transcribed spacer 2, and large subunit ribosomal RNA". The stretch from base 1 to 120 matches the Rfam family "5.8S ribosomal RNA", at positions 35 to 154 of the family's 154-position model. The record is from RNAcentral.